AAGCUCGUAGUUGAAUUUCGGGAUCAAUAUUUCGGUCAUGCCGUUGGUAUGCACUGUUAUCAUUGAUUUCUCACCUUCUAAAGAACCGUAAUGCCAUUAAUUUGGUGUUACGGGGAAUUAGGACUGUUACCUUGAAAAAAUUAGAGUGUUUAAAGCAGGCUCACGCUUGAAUACAUUGGCAUGGAAUAAUGAAAUAGGACAUCCGAUUCUAUUUUGUUGGUUUCUAGGAUCGAUGUAAUGAUUAAUAGGGAUAGUUGGGGGCAUUAGUAUUCAAUUGUCAGAGGUGAAACUCUUGGAUUUAUUGAAGACUAACUACUGCGAAAGCAUUUGCCAAGGAUGUUUUCAUUAAUCAAGAACGAAAGUUAGGGGAUCGAAGACGAUCAGAUACCGUCGUUGUCUUAACCAUAAACUAUGCCGACUAGGGAUCGGAUGAUGUUGAUUUUUUAAUGACUCAUUCGGCGCCUUACGGGAAACCAAAGUGUUUGGGUUCCGGGGGGAGUAUGGUCGCAAGGCUGAAACUUAAAGGAAUUGACGGAAGGGCACCACCAGGCGUGGAGCCUGCGGCUUAAUUUGACUCAACACGGGGAAACUUACCAGGUCCAGACAUAGCAAGGAUUGACAGACUGAGAGCUCUUUCUUGAUUCUAUGGGUG
Molecule: ribosomal RNA, 652 nt
Filed under: uncultured Funneliformis
Lineage: Eukaryota; Fungi; Glomeromycota; Glomeromycetes; Glomerales; Glomeraceae
Description: SSU rRNA
Rfam family: Eukaryotic small subunit ribosomal RNA
Source: RNAcentral